GGGCGGGUAACCUAGAGGCUAGGUGGCGGACUGCAGAUCCGCAUACGUGGGUUCAAAUCCCACCCCGCCCU
This 71-nucleotide transfer RNA is filed under the name Thermoplasmatales archaeon ex4484_30. Its description in RNAcentral is "tRNA-Cys". It matches the Rfam family "tRNA". From Rfam's summary of the family: Transfer RNA (tRNA) molecules are approximately 80 nucleotides in length. Their secondary structure includes four short double-helical elements and three loops (D, anti-codon, and T loops). Further hydrogen bonds mediate the characteristic L-shaped molecular structure. tRNAs have two regions of fundamental functional importance: the anti-codon, which is responsible for specific mRNA codon recognition, and the 3' end, to which the tRNAs corresponding amino acid is attached (by aminoacyl-tRNA synthetases). tRNAs cope with the degeneracy of the genetic code in two manners: having more than one tRNA (with a specific anti-codon) for a particular amino acid; and 'wobble' base-pairing, i.e. permitting non-standard base-pairing at the 3rd anti-codon position. The record is from RNAcentral. Lineage: Archaea; Methanobacteriati; Thermoplasmatota; Thermoplasmata; Thermoplasmatales.